GGGGGUACAGCUCAGUGGUAGAGUGUGUGCUUAGCAUGUAUAGGGUCCUGGGUUCGAUCCCUGGUAACUCCA
Molecule: transfer RNA, 72 nt
Filed under: Camelus bactrianus (Bactrian camel)
Lineage: Eukaryota; Metazoa; Chordata; Mammalia; Artiodactyla; Camelidae
Also listed under: 2 other names
Rfam family: tRNA
About the family: Transfer RNA (tRNA) molecules are approximately 80 nucleotides in length. Their secondary structure includes four short double-helical elements and three loops (D, anti-codon, and T loops).
Source: Rfam by way of RNAcentral